GAUCGCGUAGUUCAACUGGAUAGAAUAUCAGAUUUCGGCUCUGAGGGUUGGGGGUUCGAACCCCUCCGCGAUCACUA
Molecule: transfer RNA, 77 nt
Filed under: Flavobacterium collinsii
Lineage: Bacteria; Pseudomonadati; Bacteroidota; Flavobacteriia; Flavobacteriales; Flavobacteriaceae
Description: tRNA-Arg
Rfam family: tRNA
About the family: Transfer RNA (tRNA) molecules are approximately 80 nucleotides in length. Their secondary structure includes four short double-helical elements and three loops (D, anti-codon, and T loops).
Source: RNAcentral